Cyprinus carpio carpio is the source of this 1910-nucleotide long non-coding RNA. The record is from Ensembl. Lineage: Eukaryota; Metazoa; Chordata; Actinopteri; Cypriniformes; Cyprinidae.
UUUUGGUUGCCACAGUUACGACCGUGAAACGGAAGUCUUAACCUACUUCCGGAGCAACUUUGAACUGCGCACGCGCAGCGCAUCGACGCUAGUGUAAACAAACUCCACGGUGUUGCUAAGCUAACGAAAAAGUUGUAUUUACGUUGAAGUCUAUGCUAAAGCCACUAGCCUCAAAGGUUAGCCGUUAGCAUUAACAUCCAGUGGUUGAAUAGUGUCUGUUUGGGCAACGCUAAAGUGAUUUAACCCUUUAAACAUCACAACUAACACUUGUUGGUCUCUUUCUCUCUCUUAUUUCUCUCUUUUCUCACGAUACCAUUUAUUGACAUUUUACUAGAAAGGGAAAUAUUGACUAAAAAUUAUUAAUUGUCAAAUUCAAAUUUAAUUGGAACAUUUUAUUUGGAAUCAUUCAGAUUUCCCUCUUAGAUCAUUUCAUAUGAUCAUUACUUCUAGUAUUUUGGGGGCUAAUUAUUUUUAGGUACGAUUAAGACUUGAACUUUGAAAGUUUAAGUAAACUUGUUCUACCUAAUUUAUUUAUUACCCAUCUGACUAUAUUCUAUUCAGACCUGUACUUAUUUUAUUGCGUUUUACCCCUCUUUCUUCCUGUUUUGGUUAUACAUUUAGCCACUAUUGUUUUAUUUAUAGAUUUUCUCCUUUAUUUAAUUUAAUUUUUGCUUAUUUUGCCCAUUUAUUACUUUUUAAUUUGACCUUUUCUUACCAUUUCUUUCCUCUGUGUAUCCUAGCUUGGGAACGACACACCUGAGCCCUAAAAGGAGACAUUGUUAUCCCUCACUACGAGUUCAAAUAAAUUAGAAAGACAACUCUCUUUCACUUAAAGUUUAUUUUGUUGAUUAGUUGUACAGCAACUAAAACAACGCUCUCCUCGUAGUUGAGAUAACCGCUACUGAGACUAACCAUCUCCGUCCCCUCUCUCCUUUCCUUUCCUCUUCACUUUUAACAUUUGUAGGGACAUGUAAGAACCAUCAAUCAAUUCAAAGUGAAUGAAAUACGCAAUCUUGUCAAAGAAGACGAAUCAUCCUUAUGAAUUUGACCUUUUCUUACCAUUUCUUUCCUCUGUGUAUCCUAGCUUGGGAACGACACACCUGAGCCCUAAAAGGAGACAUUGUUAUCCCUCACUACGAGUUCAAAUAAAUUAGAAAGACAACUCUCUUUCACUUAAAGUUUAUUUUGUUGAUUAGUUGUACAGCAACUAAAACAACGCUCUCCUCGUAGUUGAGAUAACCGCUACUGAGACUAACCAUCUCAGUCCCCUCUCUCCUUUCCUUUCCUCUUCACUUUUAACAUUUGUAGGGACAUGUAAGAACCAUCAGUCAAUUCAAAGUGAAUGAAAUACGCAAUCUUGUCAAAGAAGACGAAUCAUCCUUAUGAAUUUGAUUGUAAUCAACCUCUCCUUUGUUCUUCCUAACCUCCCUACAUUUGGAAACGCAAUCCAAGUUUUAGCAUCUCAUCCAACGCUGAGAUCAAUUUAAUAGAGAUACGUGUUGAACAACUGUCGCCUUCGCAGCCUCCCUGGUGAGCGGUCCAACUGUAAGGUGUAUGGUGUCAAUCCUGUCAGACUAAGAAAAGAGAUAUCAGCAUUAUUAUUGUAUUCUUUUGUCCAAAACAAGAGAUUUAAUAAUAUUGUUUACCUUCUUGAUAACAUAUAAUUGGGAAAAUUAAUUUUCCUCAUUUGAAAAACAGAAAUUGUUGCUUGUCAUUGAAUUUUUCACCUCUUUCUCUCUUUUCCUCUUCCUCAUUAGCGUGACAAAGUCUUCGCAUCUCUAGUCUACUUAGACACCCUGAGACCAGCACAGUCAUCACCACACUUCACUAGUGGUUCACAAUCACUGACACAACACUUAGUUGUCCCACCACACAUAGGCUUUUACUCUACACAGAUCUGUGUCAGUCUC